Molecule: ribosomal RNA, 402 nt
Filed under: uncultured Dekkera
Lineage: Eukaryota; Fungi; Ascomycota; Saccharomycetes; Saccharomycetales; Saccharomycetaceae
Description: eukaryotic LSU rRNA
Rfam family: Eukaryotic large subunit ribosomal RNA
Source: RNAcentral
AAUUUGAAAUCGGGCAACCGAGUUGUAAUUUGGAGACGGACCUAGAGAGGAGGAAGGCGAUUAAGUGCCUUGGAACAGGCUGCCGUAGAGGGUGAGAGCCCCGUGAAUCGCUGGAGACCGAUCAAUUAGUGCCCGCCGAAGAGUCGAGUUGUUUGGGAAUGCAGCUCUAAGCGGGUGGUAUAUUCCAUCUAAGGCUAAAUAUUAGCGAGAGACCGAUAGCAAACAAGUACAGUGAUGGAAAGAUGAAAAGAACUUUGGAAAGAGAGUGAAAUAGUACGUGAAAUUGUUGAAAGGGAAGGGUAUUUGAUCCGACAUGGUGUUUAGCAGCGGCCCGUUCCUCGUGGAUGGGUGCACCUGGUUUACACUGGGCCAGCAUCGGUUCUGGGAGCCAUAUACGGGGUU